Molecule: ribosomal RNA, 392 nt
Filed under: uncultured Gammaproteobacteria bacterium
Lineage: Bacteria; Pseudomonadati; Pseudomonadota; Gammaproteobacteria
Description: bacterial SSU rRNA
Rfam family: Bacterial small subunit ribosomal RNA
Source: RNAcentral
AAUGGGCGAAAGCCUGAUCUAGCCAUGCCGCGUGAGUGAUGAAGGCCUUAGGGUCGUAAAGCUCUUUCGCCAGGGAUGAUAAUGACAGUACCUGGUAAAGAAACCCCGGCUAACUCCGUGCCAGCAGCCGCGGUAAUACGGAGGGGGUUAGCGUUGUUCGGAAUUACUGGGCGUAAAGCGCACGUAGGCGGACUAUUAAGUCAGGGGUGAAAUCCCGGGGCUCAACCCCGGAACUGCCUUUGAUACUGGUAGUCUUGAGUUCGAGAGAGGUGAGUGGAAUUCCGAGUGUAGAGGUGAAAUUCGUGGAUAUUCGGAGGAACACCAGUGGCGAAGGCGACUCACUGGCUCGAUACUGACGCUGAGGUGCGAAAGUGUGGGGAGCAAACAGGAUU